AUUGCGCUGAAAUUCAUUAGAAAUAACAACCUUUUUAUCCAUAGCAAUUUUGUUUUUUUUUUUUUUUUUUUUUAACGGGACUGAAAUCUCCGUAUUUUUCAUUGAUACUUGUGGUGAACUAUUCUUAACUAGUUAUUCGAAGUCGAAUGGUAUUGAAAGAUGCUUAAAAAAUGCAUUUUAAAAUUUGGAUUCAACGUUAAAUUUCUUAUUAAUACUUAGAAUCGCUGGAUUUCGCUGGAGUCUAAAUAAAAUCCGUUUUUCAAUACACAGCCCAUUUAGAAAGUUGAUGCAAAGAAGAUGAAGUCGCGCGUGCCAGAUGGUAUGCGAGUGGUGAAAUAAAAGUUCAGGAAAUCUUAUUGAUUUACGACGUUCCGAAAAAUCGAUUGGCAAACUUUUCACUUAGCGAAUGUGUAUUUCAAGCUGUUGUGCCGUCACGUGGAAUCUACCACAGACCGAAUCGACUUUUUCGUACGUCGAGACACACCUGCUACGAUGUCCAGGACGUUUACGUAUUUCCGCGAUGCUAAUUGACCCACAGAAUGCAAACGAUUCGAUUAAACUUUCUGGCGCAAUUUAAUAGUCCACAAAAAUUGCUUGCCCAAUCGGCGUUCCGGAUUCAUCGAACGAAAUCGGAAUUUUAGGAAAAUCCUAAAAUUUGAGAUAUUAAUCACUAAAUGGGUUCGCAGCAGCGUCACGUGAAUUGGGAGCGCAUCCGACAGUCCCACAUUGGCGAGUUUUUUCUUGCAGCAUUUAAAUUUUCAUUGAUAUACGUAGCUUCACUCGUAGGCCAUCAGAAUUUGAAUUCAAUGGCAGCAAAUGUCGUUGAUACAAUCCACUGCAAGGCUACAAUAAUGAAAAAGGAUUUUCGACCUUCCUUGUGUCAAAAUUCGGUUUCAACGACAUUGAGUAAAGUGUGUCGCAUACGUCGAUCGGAGGCAAUACGCUGUCGCAACAAUCAGUACUUCUUACGAGUGUCAUCCGUUCGCGCUUCGUAAUUUGCCGAGGAUUUGGGAUGAUUCACUGCAGAAAGUGAGCGAGAACGUUGGCAGAUUCGAGAAUGUGAUUCAGAAUUCAGAGACGAAUGGAAAGAGGUUUGGACAAAACAAGAGUAACGCAGUGAUCCAGAGCCAGCCAGUAAAAUCGAAAAAUCACCGAGCAGAGUUAAUCAACGGGCUCAUCUUAAGAACUUUUGAUGCACGAAUUAAAGGCUGAUCAUGAAAGUUGAAUCGGAGGCUAGAAACACAAAAAUUUGAUGAGAAGGAGUGAACGGAAUUGAUUGAGUAAACCAAUAAGAUGGAGCGACUCUGAAACAUGGCAUAAUUUUCAAAAACUUUGAAUUCUCGUACAUAGUUUGCCUCAUUACAAAUGAGACCCCGUUGAUUCGUGCGGUUUUCACGAGAAGAUUCAUUUCGUAAUUGAGAUGCGUUGAUAUUAAGCAAAGAGAAAGGAGAAAUCCAAUAGGUGAAAGAUGAAACGCUUCACGCGUUUACUCACGAGGUCUCAAGCAAUCCUACGCAAACUAGUAGCUCCGGCUGCCAGACUUUUUCUACAUGGAAAUAUAAAUCACUUUACCACUGAGCAAAGAGGGUCGACGAAUUUGCAAACUCGUGAGAUAGAGGAAGGAGAGAUCCGAUGGGAAAGGGAAGAAGAGAGAGAGAGAGAGAGAGAGAAAAGGCGAAGAGUGACGGAAGCUUCUGACAAGAGCAAGACCGGAAUGCCUGAUGUAUGUUUUUGGCUACUCGGACUCUGCUCUCGUGAGUAGAAUAAUAAAAAAUGAUACUUCGUUCCAUCCGUGUCCUUGGUCCAGGGGUAAUUAAAAAAUAAUAAUUGAGCCCGAAACAGAUGCCGAUUUCAGUAUUCAAUUGUAGGAGAUUGCACGCGUUGUUUAUGCAGGGUCGAUUGAAAAAUUGCUCAGCUCGUUCGUUCAUAUUAGUCCGGAAUACGCGAUUUUAAUUGGCCCCCUUGACUACACACGCUCUGACACUGCUGACAUAAUAUUAACGUCGGAACAAGCGUCUUCUUUAAAGGACGUUGAUCUCUUGGGAAUUGAUUAAAACGUCGUAAUUGGAAGAGUACUUUAACGCCAUUAUCUCAACGUCGAGUCUCUUUGCUUGGGUCAAUCACCGUAUAAAACUAGUAAAUAAUACACAGCCAGAGGGCAAAAUCAUGUGAUUUGAAUUUUUUCAUUCGCACGAGUGCACGACAGCAAUUGAAUAUUUCAUUUGGUCUCGUUGUGUCGUUUACAUCUCUUGGAAAAAUGAGACUCGACGUGUGGUUUCAAAUUAUACAAAUGGUCUGCAAGCGUACACCAUGCCUAUCUCCGUUUAUGCAUGUCCUAUGUCAGAAAAUAAUUCAUUAUUCGCUACGCGACCUUCAAAGAAAUGGAGCACUGUACGAUCCCAUUGAAUAGAAUCUCUUUCGUAAUUUGAGGAGAUCGUUACUACCUUUAAAAAUGUAUUUAUCUCUUGAACGUUGUCGAUCGAAAUUCGUAAUAAACGAGUCAUUAUUUUCUUGCAGUGCUGUAAUAUGAAGUCCAGUAGCACGAUUUAUAUUUUUUGAUAAAUUCUUCGUGCAAGACAACAAUGGAAUAAACCUGCACGGAUGAACAAACGAGUGUUUGAAAAUUGCGGUCCAAUUAAAACGACCAUGCAUGUCGCUCUUGAUGCCAAUUAUAAAAUAUCAUGAAUUACAUGUAGCGUACGUCAUUCACGUCGAUACAAACAACGCUCGCUUAUCAUUACUUGGUAUCAGGAUCCGAUCGUACUUUGCAUUCUGUAGCUCGAUUUUUCUCUCCAGAUCCUGUCGAUGGUCAUGCAAUUUCUUAGUUAUGAGAGAAAAUCAAC
This 2843-nucleotide long non-coding RNA is filed under the name Venturia canescens. RNAcentral's name for it is "uncharacterized LOC122411192, transcript variant X1". Lineage: Eukaryota; Metazoa; Arthropoda; Insecta; Hymenoptera; Ichneumonidae. The record is from RNAcentral.